AUGCAGUCGACGAUGAAGCCCAGCUUGCUGGGUGGAUUAGUGGCGAACGGGUGAGUAACACGUGAGUAACCUGCCCCCGACUCUGGGAUAAGCCCGGGAAACUGGGUCUAAUACCGGAUAUUACCUCUUGCCGCAUGGCAGGUGGUGGAAAGAUUUAUCGGUGGGGGAUGGACUCGCGGCCUAUCAGCUUGUUGGUGAGGUAAUGGCUCACCAAGGCGACGACGGGUAGCCGGCCUGAGAGGGUGACCGGCCACACUGGGACUGAGACACGGCCCAGACUCCUACGGGAGGCAGCAGUGGGGAAUAUUGCACAAUGGGCGAAAGCCUGAUGCAGCGACGCCGCGUGAGGGAUGACGGCCUUCGGGUUGUAAACCUCUUUCAGUAGGGAAGAAGCGAAAGUGACGGUACCUGCAGAAGAAGCGCCGGCUAACUACGUGCCAGCAGCCGCGGUAAUACGUAGGGCGCAAGCGUUAUCCGGAUUUAUUGGGCGUAAAGAGCUCGUAGGCGGUUUGUCGCGUCUGCCGUGAAAGUCCGAGGCUCAACCUCGGAUCUGCGGUGGGUACGGGCAGACUAGAGUGAUGUAGGGGAGACUGGAAUUCCUGGUGUAGCGG
This 611-nucleotide ribosomal RNA is filed under the name Arthrobacter sp. AIR-R2A-II-10. RNAcentral's name for it is "bacterial SSU rRNA". It matches the Rfam family "Bacterial small subunit ribosomal RNA", at positions 55 to 681 of the family's 1533-position model. The record is from RNAcentral. Lineage: Bacteria; Bacillati; Actinomycetota; Actinomycetes; Micrococcales; Micrococcaceae.